GAAGGCUUUGUGCUUUCCCCUCGCUACACUGGGGGCAGCUGAUGGACCUUGUUACCAGCAUCUGGCUCAACCAUCAGCAUUCAGGUUUGGAUUUUGUUGUUCUUGUGGAAGUUUAAAUCUGACCUGGGGUGAACAGAACAUUCUGAUGCUCUGCAUUAUUCAGCACGUAUUUCUUCAACAUCAUUUACAACAGUCUUCAACAAAACAGUCAUAGAUAAUAAACAGCAGUUCAGGUGAACUGUGCA
This 245-nucleotide long non-coding RNA is filed under the name Anas platyrhynchos platyrhynchos (common mallard). RNAcentral describes it as "lncRNA (ENSAPLG00000028744.1)". Lineage: Eukaryota; Metazoa; Chordata; Aves; Anseriformes; Anatidae. The record is from RNAcentral.